This 487-nucleotide ribosomal RNA is filed under the name uncultured bacterium. RNAcentral describes it as "bacterial SSU rRNA". It matches the Rfam family "Bacterial small subunit ribosomal RNA", at positions 28 to 507 of the family's 1533-position model. The record is from RNAcentral.
GAUGAACGCUAGCGGCAGGCCUAACACAUGCAAGUCGAGGGGUAACAUAGGAAAGCUUGCUUUUCUGAUGACGACCGGCGCACGGGUGCGUAACGCGUAUACAACCUACCUUUUAGCGGGGAAUAGCCCAGGGAAACUUGGAUUAAUGCCCCAUAGUAUAUAGACUUCUCCUGAAGUUUAUAUUAAACAUUUAUGGCUAUUAGAUGGGUAUGCGUCCUAUUAGUUAGUUGGUAAGGUAACGGCUUACCAAGGCAGCGAUAGGUAGGGGUCCUGAGAGGGAGAUCCCCACACUGGUACUGAGACACGGACCAGACUCCUACGGGAGGCAGCAGAGAGGAAUAUUGGACAAUGGGCGAGAGCCUGAUCCAGCCAUGCCGCGUGCAGGAAGACUGCCCUAUGGGUUGUAAACUGCUUUUACAGAGGAAGAACCACCCCCACGUGUGGGGGUUUGACGGUACUCUGCGAAUAAGGAUCGGCUAACUCCGUG